CCUACGGGAGGCAGCAGUGAGGAAUAUUGGUCAAUGGGCGGAAGCCUGAACCAGCCAAGUAGCGUGCAGGAUGACGGCCCUACGGGUUGUAAACUGCUUUUAUACGGGAAUAACGCGCCUUACGUGUAGGGCUUUGCAUGUACCGUAUGAAUAAGGACCGGCUAAUUCCGUGCCAGCAGCCGCGGUAAUACGGAGGGUGCGGGCGUUAUCCGGAUUUAUUGGGGUUAAAGGGUGCGUAGGCCGUCUGUUAAGUGCGCGGUGAAAUGCCCGGGCUCAACCCCGGCACCGCAGUUAGAACUGGCGGUCUCGAGUUGGAGGGGAGUAUGCGGAAUGCGCGGUGUAGCGGUGAAAUGCAUAGAUAUGGCGCAGAACUCCGAUUGCGAAGGCAGCAUGCCGGCUCCACACUGACGCUGAGGCACGAAAGCGUGGGUAUCGAACAGGAUUAGAUACCCCGGUAGUC
RNAcentral lists this ribosomal RNA (460 nucleotides) under uncultured bacterium. RNAcentral describes it as "partial 16S ribosomal RNA". It matches the Rfam family "Bacterial small subunit ribosomal RNA", at positions 338 to 795 of the family's 1533-position model. The record is from RNAcentral.